GAUGAACGCUGGCGGCGUGCCUAAUACAUGCAAGUCGAACGAAGAUCCAGCUUGCUAGAUCUUAGUGGCGAACGGGUGAGUAAUACAUAAAUAAUCUGCCCAUAUGACUGGGAUAACUACUGGAAACGAUAGCUAAUACCGGAUAGGUUGAUUGGAGGCAUCUCUGAUUAAUUAAAGUAGGAUUUCUACACAAAUGGAUGAGUUUAUGGCGCAUUAGUUAGUUGGUGGGGUAACGGCCUACCAAGACGAUGAUGCGUAGCCGACCUGAGAGGGUGACCGGCCACACUGGGACUGAGACACGGCCCAGACUCCUACGGGAGGCAGCAGUAGGGAAUUUUCGGCAAUGGGCGCAAGCCUGACCGAGCAACGCCGCGUGAGUGAUUAAGGCCUUCGGGUUGUAAAGCUCUGUUGUAAGGGAAGAACAUUCAGGAUAGGAAAUGAUCUUGAACUGACGGUACCUUACCAGAAAGCCACGGCUAACUACGUGCCAGCCGCCGCCAUAA
This 503-nucleotide ribosomal RNA is filed under the name uncultured bacterium. RNAcentral's name for it is "partial 16S ribosomal RNA". It matches the Rfam family "Bacterial small subunit ribosomal RNA", at positions 28 to 523 of the family's 1533-position model. The record is from RNAcentral.